Molecule: ribosomal RNA, 3109 nt
Filed under: Salmonella enterica
Lineage: Bacteria; Pseudomonadati; Pseudomonadota; Gammaproteobacteria; Enterobacterales; Enterobacteriaceae
Description: partial 23S ribosomal RNA
Rfam family: Bacterial large subunit ribosomal RNA
Source: RNAcentral
GGGUUGUGAGGUUAAGCGACUAAGCGUACACGGUGGAUGCCCUGGCAGUCAGAGGCGAUGAAGGGCGUGCUAAUCUGCGAUAAGCGCCGGUAAGGUGAUAUGAACCGUUAUAACCGGCGAUACCCGAAUGGGGAAACCCAGUGUGAUUCGUCACACUAUCAUUAACUGAAUCCAUAGGUUAAUGAGGCGAACCGGGGGAACUGAAACAUCUAAGUACCCCGAGGAAAAGAAAUCAACCGAGAUUCCCCCAGUAGCGGCGAGCGAACGGGGAGGAGCCCAGAGCCUGAAUCAGCAUGUGUGUUAGUGGAAGCGUCUGGAAAGGCGCGCGAUACAGGGUGACAGCCCCGUACACAAAAGCGCAUGUGCUGUGAGCUCGAUGAGUAGGGCGGGACACGUGGUAUCCUGUCUGAAUAUGGGGGGACCAUCCUCCAAGGCUAAAUACUCCUGACUGACCGAUAGUGAACCAGUACCGUGAGGGAAAGGCGAAAAGAACCCCGGCGAGGGGAGUGAAAAAGAACCUGAAACCGUGUACGUACAAGCAGUGGGAGCCCCACCACUAAGCCAGUGGUGAACUCCACAUACGCAUCCUUUGCUGAGGAUACGGUUAACGGAGCGAAAGCGACGUUCAACCGCAAAAGAAGCAGAGGGGGCUUAGUGGUGGGGUGACUGCGUACCUUUUGUAUAAUGGGUCAGCGACUUAUAUUCUGUAGCAAGGUUAACCGUAUAGGGGAGCCGGAGGGAAACCGAGUCUUAAUUGGGCGUUAAGUUGCAGGGUAUAGACCCGAAACCCGGUGAUCUAGCCAUGGGCAGGUUGAAGGUUGGGUAACACUAACUGGAGGACCGAACCGACUAAUGUUGAAAAAUUAGCGGAUGACCUGUGGCUGGGGGUGAAAGGCCAAUCAAACCGGGAGAUAGCUGGUUCUCCCCGAAAGCUAUUUAGGUAGCGCCUCGUGAAUUCAUCUCCGGGGGUAGAGCACUGUUUCGGCUAGGGGGCCAUCCCGGCUUACCAACCCGAUGCAAACUGCGAAUACCGGAGAAUGUUAUCACGGGAGACACACGGCGGGUGCUAACGUCCGUCGUGAAGAGGGAAACAACCCAGACCGCCAGCUAAGGUCCCAAAGUCAUGGUUAAGUGGGAAACGAUGUGGGAAGGCCCAGACAGCCAGGAUGUUGGCUUAGAAGCAGCCAUCAUUUAAAGAAAGCGUAAUAGCUCACUGGUCGAGUCGGCCUGCGCGGAAGAUGUAACGGGGCUAAACCAUGCACCGAAGCUGCGGCAGCGAACGUAUCACCCAAGACAACUUUACGGAGUUGACGAUUGACGGAGCGAAGCGACGUCAAAGCGUUCAUUAAAGUCGAGUUGGCUUAGGGAUACGUUCGUUGGGUAGGGGAGCGUUCUGUAAGCCUGUGAAGGUGGCCUGUGAGGGUUGCUGGAGGUAUCAGAAGUGCGAAUGCUGACAUAAGUAACGAUAAAGCGGGUGAAAAGCCCGCUCGCCGGAAGACCAAGGGUUCCUGUCCAACGUUAAUCGGGGCAGGGUGAGUCGACCCCUAAGGCGAGGCCGAAAGGCGUAGUCGAUGGGAAACGGGUUAAUAUUCCCGUACUUGGUGUUACUGCGAAGGGGGGACGGAGAAGGCUAUGUUGGCCGGGCGACGGUUGUCCCGGUUUAAGCGUGUAGGUGUGUGUUCCAGGUAAAUCCGGUUCACUUUAACACUGAGGCGUGAUGACGAGGCACUACGGUGCUGAAGCAACAAAUGCCCUGCUUCCAGGAAAAGCCUCUAAGCAUCAGGUAACAUCAAAUCGUACCCCAAACCGACACAGGUGGUCAGGUAGAGAAUACCAAGGCGCUUGAGAGAACUCGGGUGAAGGAACUAGGCAAAAUGGUGCCGUAACUUCGGGAGAAGGCACGCUGACACGUAGGUGAAGUGAUUUACUCACGGAGCUGAAGUCAGUCGAAGAUACCAGCUGGCUGCAACUGUUUAUUAAAAACACAGCACUGUGCAAACACGAAAGUGGACGUAUACGGUGUGACGCCUGCCCGGUGCCGGAAGGUUAAUUGAUGGGGUCAGCGCAAGCGAAGCUCCUGAUCGAAGCCCCGGUAAACGGCGGCCGUAACUAUAACGGUCCUAAGGUAGCGAAAUUCCUUGUCGGGUAAGUUCCGACCUGCACGAAUGGCGUAAUGAUGGCCAGGCUGUCUCCACCCGAGACUCAGUGAAAUUGAACUCGCUGUGAAGAUGCAGUGUACCCGCGGCAAGACGGAAAGACCCCGUGAACCUUUACUAUAGCUUGACACUGAACAUUGAGCCUUGAUGUGUAGGAUAGGUGGGAGGCUUUGAAGUGUGGACGCCAGUCUGCAUGGAGCCGACCUUGAAAUACCACCCUUUAAUGUUUGAUGUUCUAACGUGGACCCGUGAUCCGGGUUGCGGACAGUGUCUGGUGGGUAGUUUGACUGGGGCGGUCUCCUCCUAAAGAGUAACGGAGGAGCACGAAGGUUGGCUAAUCCUGGUCGGACAUCAGGAGGUUAGUGCAAUGGCAUAAGCCAGCUUGACUGCGAGCGUGACGGCGCGAGCAGGUGCGAAAGCAGGUCAUAGUGAUCCGGUGGUUCUGAAUGGAAGGGCCAUCGCUCAACGGAUAAAAGGUACUCCGGGGAUAACAGGCUGAUACCGCCCAAGAGUUCAUAUCGACGGCGGUGUUUGGCACCUCGAUGUCGGCUCAUCACAUCCUGGGGCUGAAGUAGGUCCCAAGGGUAUGGCUGUUCGCCAUUUAAAGUGGUACGCGAGCUGGGUUUAGAACGUCGUGAGACAGUUCGGUCCCUAUCUGCCGUGGGCGCUGGAGAACUGAGGGGGGCUGCUCCUAGUACGAGAGGACCGGAGUGGACGCAUCACUGGUGUUCGGGUUGUCAUGCCAAUGGCACUGCCCGGUAGCUAAAUGCGGAAGAGAUAAGUGCUGAAAGCAUCUAAGCACGAAACUUGCCCCGAGAUGAGUUCUCCCUGAGACUUAGAGUCUCCUGAAGGAACGUUGAAGACGACGACGUUGAUAGGCCGGGUGUGUAAGCGCAGCGAUGCGUUGAGCUAACCGGUACUAAUGAACCGUGAGGCUUAACCUUACAACGCCG